CAGCUUUUGACCUUGGGCAUGUUUCUGAAUUCAUCUGAGCCUUGUCCUUAUUCUAAAAAUUGGGACCCAAACACCUAACUUUCAGGGUAAUUUUGAAGAUGAAGUGUGUGGUAAGAAGAAAAGAGUCUAGUUUACAAUCCUUGAUUCUUAAGAGCCUGAUAGACAUUUGACAUUUCGUUCUUUAUUUCUACUUCAUGCCAGCCUAUCCUGUCCCAUUAAGUGCAUGGUCGCCUUACCAGCGGAAACAGCAUUCUAAGUUUUUGGUCCAAGUUACAAGGACAAAUUCAUUGCUCAAAGAGCAUUGUGUGUAUUUUAUUUUCUUAUGACAAAAAUUUAUGUAUAUUAAGCUCUUUGACUAGGGCUUUCUUGACAUCUCAAUCCUUAGGAGAGCUAUGAUUGACGGUACACAGAUUGUUUGGUGCGUGGUCUUUAGAAUGAGUCUAAGUAUUUGAACUUUCUGCUGGUAAUAAACUGAGGAAAUAUGGGACACAGCAUGUACUAGGCUUUAUUAGACAUUUUAACACACACUGGUUAUAAGCCAAAUACUAACUCUGUAUGCAUUUUCUCAUUUAAUCUACUCAACAACUCUAUAAAAUAGAUAUUAUUAUGAUACCCUUUUUGUAAAUAAAUAUAUUGACAUCUAGAAAGCUUGAGUGAGUUAAGCAGACAGAAAGUAACGAUUUCAAAUCACAAACAAAUUUUCUGAUCCAGUGUUGCCUCUGGAGUAUUAGUACAGGAAUGCAUGAUGCAGAACAUGUGAAAUAGGCAGUAGAGAGUUUUCUUUUUCUUUUGUUUUAUGGUUGCUUCUGCAGUCUGUGGAAGUUCCCAGGCAGGAAUAGAAUAAGAACUGCAGCGGGGGCACAUGCUGCAGCCACAACACCACCAGAUCCAAGCCACUUCUACAACCUAUAGUGUAGCUUGCAGCAACCCUGGAUUCUUAAUCCACUGAAUGAAGCCAGGGACUGAACUGGCAUCCUUACAGAGAUGUCGGGUCCUUAACCUACUGAGCCACAAAGGGAACUCCAGUGGAGAGAUUUUUAAUUCAUGCUGGCUUGAAUUACCAAUACUCAGUGUGCAUUGUGUACAGUUUUGUAUUUCAAGAAAGAUGAUUCACAAUGAUGUAUUUUGUUUAUGUUCAUUUUUCUUAAAUUCUUAACAUGCUCUGGAAAUUUUCCUUUCUAAGUUUAUUUUCAUAAGGAAUACCUGUUAAUGACAUUAAAAUAUGUAGAUAAACAAAGCUAGUAAACAAAAGUCGAGACAUCAUAUAAACUCACGACAAAGGAAAAAAUUGUUCAUAUUUUUGUACAUGUACUUGCAGAUAAAUACUUGUGCAGACGUGCACAUACAUAUUUGUUAGCCAUACAAUAGAAGCAUACUACAAUACUAUUUUGCACCUUUUCGUUCAUAUUAUAUAUCACGAGCAUCUUUCCUUGACAUGAAGUUUGCUUCCACCAAACCGAGCUUUGUUAUUAUGUCUGUGUGGUGUGUAUAAAGAUGUUCUGGAGCAUAUUUUAGUCUUUUUUUGAGCAUUCAGGUUUUACGCUGCAGUGAACAUGCUUUUAAUGAAAUCUUGUGCACCUUCUAAAUUAUUUUAUUAAGUUCCUUCAAGUACACUAGCUGUGUUAUAUGGUACACUAAAUUUUAUAGCUUUUGAUCUGUAAUGCCAAGUGGCCCUCCAGGUAGUCAGAACCCUUUAUAUAAGAUAGCAUCUCCCUGUUUUAUUAAUAAUGACUCAUAGACAUAAAUAAAGAUAUUUAACAUGUUAAUUUGGUCUCAAACUCCCAAAGGAGAAAAAAAAAUAAAGUCAGAAAAGCCUUGUAGUGUGGAAAUUGUGCUUGCCCUCUAGGAUCAUUGCUAUUUCAUCAAUAUUUCCCUUGAAUAUAAUAAAUAUAAACACAAGAGCCUUCAAGUAUCUGGAAAAGAUAGAUAUUUCAAACAUACAACAUGGUGUGGCCUAAAAGUUUGAGAUGUGGUUAACCAGGAGAAAUUUCCAUAUUUUAAUGAAGAAAUUAGCAUAUGUUUUUUAUCGCCGUGAAAUUAAAAAAAAAAACUCUUUCCAAUUCCUUUUAUGAGAAAGUUGAUGUCAUGGAUGUGCUAUUUAGUUUCCUUGAGGGAACAACAUUUCCAAAGAAGUGAGAAUUGUUUUUCUGCAAAGAACUGCUUCCAAGUUGGUUAAAACUGGUUCAACAUUCUGCUUUAAUCUUACAUUAAAUGCAAGUGUCAAAAAAUAUAUUUUCAUGGGUAAUCUUUGGACAGCCACAUGCACUAGGUUGAAUACUGUCAUUUAGAUGUAAAAUUUACUGUGAAAACGUUAUUAUAGGUCAAUGAAUGAAAAUAAUAUAUUGAAGAAUAAGCCAUAUUUCUAAUAUAUUCAUUACUAUCACAAUCAAAUUAACAUUUAAAAUUCAUAGUUAGUCCAGAAUCUGCCUUCUAUGAACCCACAGAACAGAUGUACAGAAGCUCUCAAAGCUGAAAUAUAUUUCAAAAUUGUGCUCUCUUGAGAGUGUAUAUGGACUCUGUAGGUGUUAUUUCAAUAUGUUUGAAAAUUAAUGUAUAAAAAAAUUUAGACUUGUAAAAUUAAACUGGUUUCCAUAUCUGAUUCACUCUAUAUCCUUUAUGUAAAUUUACAUUCAUCUUUAUGGAUUUGCAAGAAUCAGAAGUAAUAACCCAAACACUUAUCACAUAGUACAUAGCUUUUAAACCAAAACUAUCUCUGUUCAAAAGAAAUGGUCAUACCUAUUACCCUAACAGAAAGAUAUAGGUGUUUUUGGUGAAUUGUUUUUAUAUUCCCAAACAUUUGCUUUUAAGUUUCUAUAUACCGGCAUUGUUUAUAGCAUUUUACCUCCACUGUAGAGCUGCUGAAAGGAAAAUAAAAGCUAAGGUCAGGCUUAAAAGUGAACCUUUCCAGCAGUUACCUUUUCAUAGCUCUGUUUUGUUUUCUUUAAAUUGAGACGUGGACAUUUCAAACUGAAUCUGGCCACUGUGUAUUUAGCACGUCAAACAUUGAAUGCCAUAACUCCUUCAAUCUGCAGUCUAGUCAGGUAAAGCUAAGUAAAAGCAGUAAACAUUUGGGUUUAAUUGUUGGCAUCACAGAUGGGAAUGGAAGAAAGCAGACAGAUGUUAAGACUCUUUGUAUUAUUUAACAAGCAAGUUGUGUCCAAGGAAUGACUAUAUCUUUGCUCCUUCAUUUUUUAAAGAAACGUCCCUGGUCUCUGCUCUUCUGGAACAAAAAAAGAAAUUGAACAUGCUAAUGAGAAUAUUAAAAAUUAUAGGUGUGUAGUUCCCUUGGUAGCUCAGGGGGAUAAGGAACCGACGUAGUAUCCAUGAGGAUGUGGGUUUGAUCCCUGGCCUCACUCAUUGGGUGAAGGAUCUGGCAUUGCCACAAGAUGAGGCGUAGGUUGCUGAUGUGGCUCAGGUUCAUUGUCACUGUGGUUGUGGCAGAGGCCUGCAGCUGCAGCUCCAAUUUGACCCUUGGCAUGGGAAUUUUCAUCGAUUGUAGGUGUGGCC
RNAcentral lists this long non-coding RNA (3507 nucleotides) under Sus scrofa (pig). Its description in RNAcentral is "lncRNA (ENSSSCG00000051843.1)". The record is from RNAcentral. Lineage: Eukaryota; Metazoa; Chordata; Mammalia; Artiodactyla; Suidae.